CGUGAAAUUGUUGAAAGGGAAACGCUUGAAGUCAGUCGCGCCGUUCAGGACUCAGCCUUGCUUUGCUUGGUGUACUUCCUGUUUGGUGGGUCAGCAUCAAUUUUGGUCGGUGGAUAAAGGCUUAGAGAAGGUGGCAUCUUCGGGUGUGUUAUAGCUCUGGGUCGCAUACAGCGGCUGGGAUUGAGGAACUCAGCACGCCGCAAGGCCGGGGACUUGUCCCACGUACGUGCUUAGGAUGCUGGCAUAAUGGCUUUAAUCGACCCGUCUUGAAACACGG
This 277-nucleotide ribosomal RNA is filed under the name Mycena citrinomarginata. Its description in RNAcentral is "partial large subunit ribosomal RNA". It matches the Rfam family "Eukaryotic large subunit ribosomal RNA", at positions 398 to 664 of the family's 3401-position model. Lineage: Eukaryota; Fungi; Basidiomycota; Agaricomycetes; Agaricales; Mycenaceae. The record is from RNAcentral.